UAGCUUAGGACGGACUAAGCUAAACAAGUAACGGGGAGCGCGUGCGGGUGGAGGAAUAUUUAUUACGGGAGAGAAAAAGGCAGGCUAAAAGCGUUUUUAGCACCGGAGAGCUAGGGCAAAGUGGAGACCAGGCCAGAGCGGCCUCAAGAGUGGCCUCGAGGUAACGGCGUGUUAAACGGAGCGAUGGUCUCCAUAGGGUUCGGGGACAAGAAGUGGGAGCGAAGGGGAGCUUUGAGACGUAGGGAGACCGGAGAAAAUAAUACGUCUAGGCGUGCCCGUUCACGUAGGGUUGAUGAGGACGUAGAGUAGACUCGGCGGGCGGCGAGAUCGGCGAACAGCAAUAGCGUUCUCCUGCGGGGGCCGUGGCUUCUCUAG
RNAcentral lists this ribosomal RNA (375 nucleotides) under Triticum aestivum (bread wheat). Its description in RNAcentral is "partial small subunit ribosomal RNA". Lineage: Eukaryota; Viridiplantae; Streptophyta; Magnoliopsida; Poales; Poaceae. The record is from RNAcentral.